AGCAGCCGCGGUAAUUCCAGCUCCAAUAGCGUAUAUUAAAGUUGUUGCAGUUAAAAAGCUCGUAGUUGAAUUUCGGGAUCAAUAUGUUGGUCGUGCCUCGGUACGUACUAGCAUGUUGGUUUCUCCUUUCUGAAGAACCAUGAUGUCAUUUAUUUGGUGUCGUGGGGAAUCAGGACUGUUACUUUGAAAAAAUUAGAGUGUUUAAAGCAGGCUCACGCUUGAAUACAUUAGCAUGGAAUAAUGAAAUAGGACGUUUGAUUCUAUUUUGUUGGUUUCUAGGAUCGACGUAAUGAUUAAUAGGGAUAGUUGGGGGCAUUAGUAUUCAAUUGUCAGAGGUGGAAUUCUUGGAUUUAUUGAAGACUAACUACUGCGAAAGCAUUUGCCAAGGAUGUUUUCAUUAAUCAAGAACGAAAGUUAGGGGAUCGAAGACGAUCAGAUACCGUCGUAGUCUUAACCAUAAACUAUGCCGACUAGGGAUCGGAUGAUGUUAAUUUUUUCAAUGACUCAUUCGGCGCCUUAC
RNAcentral lists this unclassified non-coding RNA (520 nucleotides) under uncultured Glomus. Its description in RNAcentral is "SSU rRNA". It matches the Rfam family "Eukaryotic small subunit ribosomal RNA", at positions 569 to 1091 of the family's 1831-position model. Lineage: Eukaryota; Fungi; Glomeromycota; Glomeromycetes; Glomerales; Glomeraceae. The record is from RNAcentral.